Molecule: ribosomal RNA, 439 nt
Filed under: uncultured bacterium
Lineage: Bacteria
Description: partial 16S ribosomal RNA
Rfam family: Bacterial small subunit ribosomal RNA
Source: RNAcentral
CUACGGGUUGCACCAGUGAGGAAUAUUGCACAAUGGGGGGAACCCUGAUGCAGCAACGCCGCGUGGAGGAUGACGCAUUUCGGUGUGUAAACUCCUUUUAUAUGUCAAGAAAAUGACGGUAGCAUAUGAAUAAGCACCGGCUAACUCCGUGCCAGCAGCCGCGGUAAUACGGAGGGUGCAAGCGUUACUCGGAAUCACUGGGCGUAAAGGACGCGUAGGCGGGUCGGAAAGUCAGGUGUGAAAUCCUACAGCUUAACCGUAGAACUGCACUUGAAACUUCUAAUCUAGAGUAUGGGAGGGGGAGAUGGAAUUAGUGGUGUAGGGGUAAAAUCCGUAGAUAUCACUAGGAAUACCUAAAGCGAAGGCGAUCUGCUGGAACAUUACUGACGCUAAGGCGUGAAAGCGUGGGGAGCAAACAGGAUUAGAUACCCUAGUAGUC